CAAGCUUGCAAAGAACAUGUAUUCCAUGGUAACUGGGUGAAGCAUCCUAUAUGUGUCUAUUAGAAACAUCCAGAAUAUUAUUUGACUGAAUAUCCGGACACCAUGGCCAGGCGAAGUGGACACAUAAGAUGAAUUGUCACAGGUUGGAGGGUGAGGGUGACAGAAGCUGGGAAAUGAAAGAUGGGAUUGUUUUCUUGUCAUCCUGUAUCCCUGCCACCUGGCGAUGGUGUUUCUGGAGAGUUACCUGGAACUCGAUGGAUCUGUCCAGAGGAGAAGACUGAGUUGGGG
Long non-coding RNA from Symphalangus syndactylus (siamang), 288 nucleotides. RefSeq lists it as uncharacterized. The record is from RefSeq and is a predicted model, not a curated record. Lineage: Eukaryota; Metazoa; Chordata; Mammalia; Primates; Hylobatidae.